UAACGCGUUGGUGACCUGCCCCGAAGCGUGGGAUAACAGACCGAAAGGUUUGCUAAUACCGCAUGAGCAGUUGGUGAAGUAGAGAGCUAACUGGAAAGAGGAAACUCGCUUUGGGAGGGGCCUGCGUCCCAUCAGCUAGUUGGUAAGGUAACGGCUUACCAAGGCGAUGACGGGUAGGGGACCUGAGAGGGUGAACCCCCACAAUGGAACUGAAACACGGUCCAUACACCUACGGGUGGCAGCAGUAGGGAAUAUUGCUUAAUGGGCGCAAGCCUGAAGCAGCAACGCCGCGUGUGCGAUGAAGGCCUUCGGGUUGUAAAGCACUUUUGGCUGGGAAGAGGAAGGACGGUACCAGCAGAAUAAGCCUCGGCUAACUACGUGCCAGCAGCCGCGGUAAAACGUAGGAGGCGAGCGUUAUCCGGAUUUACUGGGUGUAAAGCGCGUGUAGGCGGUUUGCUAAGUUGGGUGUGAAAGCUCCUGGCUCAACUGGGAGAGGUCGCUCAAGACUGGUAGACUAGAGAGCAGUAGGGGAAGGUGGAAUUCCGGGUGUAGUGGUGAAAUGCGUAGAUAUCCGGAGGAACACCAGUGGCGAAGGCGGCCUUCUGGACUGCAUCUGACGCUCAGACGCGAAAGCUAGGGUAGCAAACGGGAUUAGAGACCCCGGUAGUCCUA
This 672-nucleotide ribosomal RNA is filed under the name uncultured Chloroflexota bacterium. Its description in RNAcentral is "bacterial SSU rRNA". It matches the Rfam family "Bacterial small subunit ribosomal RNA", at positions 111 to 798 of the family's 1533-position model. The record is from RNAcentral. Lineage: Bacteria; Bacillati; Chloroflexota.